CGCUUUCGCGCGGGAGCUCGACCCGCGACCGCCACGAUAGUCGAGUUCAUCGACGACCACAGGGAAUCGUUCGGAGUCGAGCCGGUCUGCCGUGAAUUGGAGAUCGCUCCG
Molecule: non-coding RNA, 111 nt
Filed under: Actinoalloteichus sp. GBA129-24
Lineage: Bacteria; Bacillati; Actinomycetota; Actinomycetes; Pseudonocardiales; Pseudonocardiaceae
Also listed under: 1 other name
Description: ALIL pseudoknot
Rfam family: ALIL pseudoknot
Source: RNAcentral